Molecule: long non-coding RNA, 394 nt
Organism: Sinocyclocheilus rhinocerous
Lineage: Eukaryota; Metazoa; Chordata; Actinopteri; Cypriniformes; Cyprinidae
Exons: 3
Source: RefSeq, a predicted model, not a curated record
UCUCAGAGAUGAGCGGCUACAGAAUUGUAUUCACAGAUGGUAAUUUACUUCCAUUAUGCUAAGAAACAGGUCAUACUCUAUCAACAAGCAGAUAUGAUCUUGUGAGAAUGCGUUUAGAAGACAAAUAGACAAACUGACCUGAAAAAUAAUACUGGUUAAAAGUACAGCUUAUUCUAAUUUUGUCUUUUUUUUAAAAAUUGUAUUUAACAGAGUGCAUAUGAUUCACUGGUACGAUGGGCAGAAGUGGAAACACCCAGAAGGAAAAAAAUUAAACGCAUUCUAGACUCAGAUGAUGAAAGUCCCACCAGCACUGACCGUGUAGUAGCUCCAGCAGUGUCAAAUACAGAGGAGUCUAUGCUUCCGAAACAGCCCAGUGUGAGUCUCGUAUCAUAAA